This is a long non-coding RNA of Ceratosolen solmsi marchali, 786 nucleotides long. RefSeq lists it as uncharacterized. The record is from RefSeq and is a predicted model, not a curated record. NCBI's taxonomy places the organism in Eukaryota, Metazoa, Arthropoda, Insecta, Hymenoptera, Agaonidae. The transcript is spliced from 3 exons.
CCGUAUCGUACGUCACGUCGUACUCUCGACUCACCGCCGGAUACCUAGGGCUGCCAAUACAAACAGGGACGAUUUAUCGAAAUAAUGCCAUUACUGCUUAAUUGCCGACUCGCAUCUUCGAGUGCCUAACGAGCAAACGCUGCUUUUUUGUUUUUCAUACCUAAUGAUUUUGCGAGUCACCAAGUUUUUGGAAUCAAUGGAAAUUGUAGAUAUAUUGGCAGAUUCGCUUCACGGCAUUAUUAUCAUUAUUAAAGCUUGAAACUGGAACGAGUUUUCAGAUUCUACAACUAAGAAAAGUAUCCAUUUUUCAGAAAUAUAUUUUGCUUCUGACUCGAAAAACUAAGAAAUUUAAAUUGGUAAACAACAAGCCUUCAAAAAGUUAAAAGGAAGCAAAUAAGCUCGAUAACAUAUAUAACUCAUCGCUCAAAAACUAGAUUUUUACAACAAUAAUUCGUAUGCCAUUCCGUGAAUAUGGAUUAGUCAUAAAGACACGUGUUCUUUAACAACGACGUAAAGAUCUUAGUCAGCUGAUAAAGUCCAUCAAUACAAAUAAAUGGAGAAUAAAUUAAAAUAAUCAUAAUGACAGUUAACAUCGAAUGACUGAAUGCAUACAUUUUGCAGUGAGUACAAUCUUCGACGAUAAAUACUAGCCGCGUAUUUUCAUGAGAAAUAAUUCUUUUAACGCGCUAAAUGUUUAUAUUCAAGUAUUGGUAGACAAAAAAUACCCUGCGUAAGGUUAACAACAAUAGUACAACAAUAGCCUACAAUUAUCAAUAACUUUAGUAA